Molecule: transfer RNA, 68 nt
Filed under: Marmota monax (woodchuck)
Lineage: Eukaryota; Metazoa; Chordata; Mammalia; Rodentia; Sciuridae
Description: tRNA.Val
Rfam family: tRNA (bases 3-63)
About the family: Transfer RNA (tRNA) molecules are approximately 80 nucleotides in length. Their secondary structure includes four short double-helical elements and three loops (D, anti-codon, and T loops). Further hydrogen bonds mediate the characteristic L-shaped molecular structure. tRNAs have two regions of fundamental functional importance: the anti-codon, which is responsible for specific mRNA codon recognition, and the 3' end, to which the tRNAs corresponding amino acid is attached (by aminoacyl-tRNA synthetases). tRNAs cope with the degeneracy of the genetic code in two manners: having more than one tRNA (with a specific anti-codon) for a particular amino acid; and 'wobble' base-pairing, i.e. permitting non-standard base-pairing at the 3rd anti-codon position.
Source: RNAcentral
GUUGUAGCUCAGUGGUUGAGUGCUUGCUUCACAUGCAUGAGGCACUGGGUUUGAUCCUUAGCACAACA